UUUAUUUAUUCAUGUUUUAAUUAUUUUUUAAAGCAAUUUUACAAGAAGAAAGCAAUCGGCAUGACAAUUAUACAAUUUUCGUUCAGCUUCAGUUUUAACAUUUUAUAAACUGAUAAAUGAAUCGG
Amblyraja radiata (thorny skate) is the source of this 125-nucleotide long non-coding RNA. RefSeq lists it as uncharacterized. Lineage: Eukaryota; Metazoa; Chordata; Chondrichthyes; Rajiformes; Rajidae. The transcript is spliced from 4 exons. The record is from RefSeq and is a predicted model, not a curated record.